AAUGGGGGCAACCCUGAUCCAGCCAUGCCGCGUGAGUGAAGAAGGCCUUCGGGUUGUAAAGCUCUUUCGGCCGGGGAGAAAUCGCACGGGCUAAUACCUUGUGUGGGUGACGGUACCGGAAUAAGAAGCACCGGCUAACUACGUGCCAGCAGCCGCGGUAAUACGUAGGGUGCGAGCGUUAAGCGGAAUUACUGGGCGUAAAGCGUGCGCAGGCGGUUUUUUAAGACAGGCGUGAAAUCCCCGGGCUUAACCUGGGAACUGCGCUUGUGACUGGAAGGCUAGAGUACGGCAGAGGGGGGUGGAAUUCCACGUGUAGCAGUGAAAUGCGUAGGGAUGUGGAGGAACACCGAUGGCGAAGGCAGCCCCCUAGGCCGAUACUGACGCUCAUGCACGAAAGCGUGGGGAGCAAA
Molecule: ribosomal RNA, 410 nt
Filed under: uncultured bacterium
Lineage: Bacteria
Description: bacterial SSU rRNA
Rfam family: Bacterial small subunit ribosomal RNA
Source: RNAcentral